RNAcentral lists this long non-coding RNA (1061 nucleotides) under Castor canadensis (American beaver). RNAcentral describes it as "lncRNA (ENSCCNG00000002251.1)". Lineage: Eukaryota; Metazoa; Chordata; Mammalia; Rodentia; Castoridae. The record is from RNAcentral.
UGAUGGAGGCUCAACUCUGUGGGUGCUGGGGCUUAGGGGCUCUGGAUGGCAUGAGUAGGCGUCCGCUUGGAGUGGGAGAAACUUUGAUUCAGACUGGCCAUCUUGCAAGUGACUGGGAGCUUUGGAAACAGGCAAUAGAGCUUCAGAUCAGAAAGGAUUAACGGACAAGUCACAUCAAAUGAAAUGUUACAACCCACGUACAACAGCGGUCAGGAAGAUUGAGGGGAAACAGGGAACUUUGAAUUGUGCUUUUGGUCAUCUUACUGCAUCCCUGUUAAAGCUGUAGGUAAUUGUGGGGGACUAGAUGUCUGACUCCCCUCAAUGUGCAUGUUGACAUCCUGACUGCGUAGGUGAUGAUUUGGUGCAGAGGCCUUCAGAACUGCACUGGGUUUCGAUGAGGUCCUGAUGGUGCGGCCCUGAUAGAAUUUGUCUUCUCUUGUGUGUGUGUGUGUGUGUAUAUAAUUAUCACUAUUAGUAUUUUGCUUUGGUUUUAGGGCCCUGUGCUUGCCAGGCAGGUACUCUACCACUUGGACCACACCCUGAUGUUCUUGUAAGAAAAGAAACUCCAUAUAUCUCCCUCCUUCCUCCUCCUCCUCCUCCCCCAAUGUGGGGACACAGCAGGGAGGCGCCAUCUGUAAGCCAGGGAGAGGCCCCCUCACCAGGAGCCACAUCAGCUAGCACCUUGCUCUUGGACGUCUGACCUCCAGAACUGUGGGAUGUAAACGUGUCUGUUUCGGCCACGGGGUCUACACCAUGCGUUCUCCCAGCCCAAGCAGACCGCCAUCAGCACAGGACUUCCUUACGCAGGAGAGAGCUGCUCUCAGGUUAUUCUCUACACGUGAGUCAUGGCUCAGUGAGAGAGAGAGCAAAUGAGGGUAAUGUCAAUAAUUACUGAAUCUAGGGAAGGUGUUCAGCUGUUUAUUGUACUACUUCACCAAUUUUUUUUCAUGUUGGAAAUUUUUUUAGUUAAAAAGAAUGUGUGUAUGUGUGUGCUCUUGUGUGCACGUGCAGGGAAGGGCGGAUAGAAUAAAACCGAGAGAAAAAAGAUUCUAAGGGUGGUG